RNAcentral lists this ribosomal RNA (440 nucleotides) under uncultured bacterium. RNAcentral's name for it is "partial 16S ribosomal RNA". It matches the Rfam family "Bacterial small subunit ribosomal RNA", at positions 338 to 795 of the family's 1533-position model. The record is from RNAcentral.
CCUACGGGUGGCAGCAGUGGGGAAUAUUGCACAAUGGGGGAAACCCUGAUGCAGCGACGCCGCGUGAGUGAAGAAGUAUUUCGGUACGUAAAGCUUUAUCAGCAGGGGAGAAAAUGACGGUACCUGACUAAGAAGCCCCGGCUAACUACGUGCCAGCAGCCGCGGUUAUACGGAGGGGGCAAGCGUUAUCCGGAUUUACCGGGGGUAAAGGGAGUGUAGUGGGCAGCGGAAGUCCGGAGUUAAAUCCCAUGGUUUAAACAUGGAACUGCUUUGGAAACUGUGCAGCUAGAGUGCAGGAGAGGUAAGCGGAAUGCCUAGUGUAGCGGUGAAAUGCAUAGAUAUUGGGAAGAACACCGGUGGCGAAGGCGGCGUACUGGACUCGGACUGACGUUGAGGCUCGAAAGCGUGGGGAGCAAACAGGAUUAGAUACCCGUGUAGUC